GGCUCCAUGGUCAAGUGGUUAAGACAUCGCCCUUUCACGGCGGUAACUCGGGUUCGAAUCCCGAUGGAGUCA
This 72-nucleotide transfer RNA is filed under the name Lachnospiraceae bacterium. RNAcentral describes it as "tRNA-Glu". It matches the Rfam family "tRNA". From Rfam's summary of the family: Transfer RNA (tRNA) molecules are approximately 80 nucleotides in length. Their secondary structure includes four short double-helical elements and three loops (D, anti-codon, and T loops). Lineage: Bacteria; Bacillati; Bacillota; Clostridia; Lachnospirales; Lachnospiraceae. The record is from RNAcentral.